GGGCCCGCACAAGCGGUGGAGCAUGUGGUUUAAUUCGAUGCAACGCGAAGAACCUUACCUACACUUGACAUCAUCAGAACUUGUUAGAGAUAACUCGGUGCCUUCGGGAACUGAUAGACAGGUGCUGCAUGGGCUGUCGUCAGCUCGUGUCGUGAGAUGUUGGGUUAAGUCCCGCAACGAGCGCAACCCCUAUCCUUAGUUGCCAGCGGGUAAAAGCCGGGGGACUCUAGGAAGACAAACCUCGUGUAGAGGUGGGAAGGUGGGGACGACGUCAAGUCAGUAUGGCCCUUACGACCAGGGCUGCACACGUGCUACAAUGCCCAGCACAAUGGGGAUGCAACACCGCGAGGUUGAG
RNAcentral lists this ribosomal RNA (355 nucleotides) under uncultured bacterium. Its description in RNAcentral is "bacterial SSU rRNA". It matches the Rfam family "Bacterial small subunit ribosomal RNA", at positions 917 to 1267 of the family's 1533-position model. The record is from RNAcentral.